UUUGUUUCUAAUAUCCUACACAGUCCAGCAGCUCCCCCUGUGUUUGUUUGCUUUCCCCGUCUCUGUAAGGAGCUGUGGUCUCCCCCUGUUCAUCCCCGAAGGGUGUGGCUGGAACAGCUGACGGCAAUCAGCCCUCAGGGGACUCUCCUACAUCAACCGGGGUCUUCCUGCCAUUCAGCGCCAGAUCCUUCUGUCGUCAGAGUGAGAGGAUCAUCCCAAUCCGCAGUGAAGGAUACAAGUCCUCAAGCAGAAGGGGACAGAAGAGCUCUGUUUACAGUCUGAGAGAGAGUGAUGACAUCGUCCAGAGAGGAUUAUGGGAGAUUUAUAUAAAACAUACACAAAGACAGAAAGAUGAUGAAUGUUUUUAUAGGAUAAUUCAGCCGGUUGUGUUAUGUAUAUAUACAUAUAUAUGU
This is a non-coding RNA of Gasterosteus aculeatus aculeatus (three-spined stickleback), 413 nucleotides long. Lineage: Eukaryota; Metazoa; Chordata; Actinopteri; Perciformes; Gasterosteidae. The record is from RefSeq and is a predicted model, not a curated record.